UUCCGGUUGAUCCUGCCGGACCUGACUGCUAUCGGAUUGAUACUAAGCCAUGCGAGUCAUUGUAGCAAUACAAGGCAGACGGCUCAGUAACGCGUAGUCAACCUACCCUAUGGACGGGGAUAACCUCGGGAAACUGAGAAUAAUACCCGAUAGAACACUAUACCUGGAAUGGUUUGUGUUCCAAAUAAUUUAUUGCCGUAGGAUGGGACUGCGGCCUAUCAGUUUGUUGGUGAGGUAAUGGCCCACCAAGACUAUUACAGGUACGGGCUCUGAGAGGAGUGGCCCGGAGAUGGGUACUGAGACACGGACCCAGGCCCUAUGGGGCGCAGCAGGCGAGAAAACUUUGCAAUGUGCGAAAGCACGACAAGGUUAAUCCGAGUGGUUUCUGCUAAAGGAACCUUUUGACAGUCCUAGAAACACUGUUGAAUAAGGGGUGGGCAAGUUCUGGUGUCAGCCGCCGCGGUAAAACCAGCACCUCAAGUGGUCAGGAUGAUUAUUGGGCCUAAAGCAUCCGUAGCCGGCUCUGUAAGUUUUCGGUUAAAUCUGUACGCUUAACGUACAGGCUGCUGGGAAUACUGCAGAGCUAGGGAGUGGGAGAGGUAGACGGUACUCGGGAGGAAGUGGUAAAAUGCUUUGAUCUCUCGAUGACCACCUGUGGCGAAGGCGGUCUACCAGAACACGUUCGACGGUGAGGGAUGAAAGCUGGGGGAGCAAACCGGAUUAGAUACCCGGGUAGUCCCAGCUGUAAACGAUGCAGACUCGGUGAUGCGCUGGCUUGUGGCCAGUGCAGUGCCGCAGGGAAGCCGUUAAGUUUGCCGCCUGGGAAGUACGUACGCAAGUAUGAAACUUAAAGGAAUUGGCGGGGGAGCACCACAAGGGGUGAAGCCUGCGGGUUCAAUUGGAUUCAACGCCGGG
This 915-nucleotide ribosomal RNA is filed under the name uncultured archaeon. RNAcentral's name for it is "bacterial SSU rRNA". It matches the Rfam family "Archaeal small subunit ribosomal RNA", at positions 1 to 922 of the family's 1478-position model. The record is from RNAcentral.